GUGCCGGUUAGCUCAGUCAGUUGGAGCAUGGUGCUGAUAACACCAAAGUCGUGGGUUCGAUCCCCAUUCGGUCCC
Molecule: non-coding RNA, 75 nt
Organism: Apaloderma vittatum (bar-tailed trogon)
Lineage: Eukaryota; Metazoa; Chordata; Aves; Trogoniformes; Trogonidae
Source: Rfam